RNAcentral lists this ribosomal RNA (459 nucleotides) under uncultured bacterium. Its description in RNAcentral is "partial 16S ribosomal RNA". It matches the Rfam family "Bacterial small subunit ribosomal RNA", at positions 338 to 795 of the family's 1533-position model. The record is from RNAcentral.
CCUACGGGAGGCAGCAGUGAGGAAUAUUGGUCAAUGGGCGCGAGCCUGAACCAGCCACGCCGCGUGAGGGAAGAAGGUCCUCUGGUUGGAAAACCUCUUUUGUCGGGGAGCAAAAGACGCAACGCGUGGCGUUCCGAGAGUACCCGAAGAAAAAGCAUCGGCUAACUCCGUGCCAGCAGCCGCGGUAAUACGGGGGAUGCGAGCGUUAUCCGGUUUUAUUGGGUUGAAAGGGUGCUGAGGCGGAAGAUCAAGUCAGCGGUAAAAUUGAGGGGCUCAACCUCUUCGAGCCGUUGAAACUGGUUUUCUUGAGUGAGCGAGAAGUAUGCGGAAUGCGUGGUGUAGCGGUGAAAUGCAUAGAUAUCACGCAGAACACCGAUUGCGAAGGCAGCAUACCGGCGCUCAACUGACGCUCAUGCACGAAAGUGUGGGUAGCGAACAGGAUUAGAUACCCUAGUAGUC